AAACCAUGUUAUGGGCAUCUCCGCAAGCGAUCCUUGAAGCGCUCCCAUGUCUCAGGCAAUGAUUCUAGUUCCAUCUGCACAAACGAUGAUAUCUCAUUAUGAAGCUU
Dioscorea cayenensis subsp. rotundata (Guinea yam) is the source of this 107-nucleotide small nucleolar RNA. Lineage: Eukaryota; Viridiplantae; Streptophyta; Magnoliopsida; Dioscoreales; Dioscoreaceae. The record is from RefSeq and is a predicted model, not a curated record.